RNAcentral lists this long non-coding RNA (1175 nucleotides) under Papio anubis (olive baboon). Its description in RNAcentral is "lncRNA (ENSPANG00000043636.1)". The record is from RNAcentral. Lineage: Eukaryota; Metazoa; Chordata; Mammalia; Primates; Cercopithecidae.
CUUGAGGACAUUAUGCCAAGUGAAAUAGACCAAUCACAAAAAGAUAAGUACUAUAUGAUUCCACUUACAUAAGAUACUUGGAAUAGUCAAAAUCAUAGAGACAGAAAGCAUAAUGGUGAUUGCCAGAGGCUGCAGGGAGGAGAAAUGGGGAGUUAGUGUUCAAUGGGUGUAGAGUUUCAGUUUUACAAGAUGAAAAGAGUUGUGAAUGGCUGGGCGUGAUGGCUCACACCUGUAAUCCCAGCACUCGAGAUCGUGCCACUGCACUCCAGCCUGGGCGACAGAGCAAGAUUCCAUCUCAAAAAAAAAAAAAAUUAAUUAAGAAAAGAAGAAAGGUCCCAAUUCAACAAUCAAAGUGUCUACCUUUAGAAAUUAGAAAAACAAGAGCUAACAAGCCCAAAGCAAGGAGAGGAAGGAAAUAACAAAAAGAUAAAGAUAAAUUAAUAAAAUUCGAAACGGUAAAAUGAGGGAAAAAUAAACCAAAAAUCUGGUUAUUUGAAAAGAUUAAUAAGAUUAAUAAACUUCUUGUCAGACUGACAGAGGAGAAUAAAAGAGGAUACAUAUUGCCCGUAUCAGGAAUGAAAGAGGGGAAUAUCUCUACAGACAUUACAGUCAUUAGCAAGUUUGGCCGGGUGUGGUGGCUCAUGCCUGUAAUCCCAGAACUUUGGGAGGCCAAGGCGGGCAGAUCACCUGAGGUCGGGAGUUCAAGACCAGCCUGACUAACAUGGAGAAACCCCAUUGUACUAAAAAUACAGAAUUAGCUGGGUGUGGUGGUACAUGCCAGUAAUCCCAGCUACUCGGGAGGCUGAGGCAGGAAAAUCGCUUGAACCCAGGAGGCGGAGGUUGCGGUGAGCUGAGAUCGUGCCACUGCACUCCAGCCUGGGCAACAAAAGCAAAACUCAAAGUAAAAAAAAAUAAAAUUAAUGAGGAAUACUGUGAACGUUUUUACACACAUAAGUGGACCCAUUGAUAAGGGCCAACUUCUUAAAAACUGCAAACUACUAAAACUCAUCCGAGAAGAAAUAGAUAACUUGAACAAUCCUAUAUCUAUUAAAGAAAUUGAAUUCAUAAUUUUUAAUACUAUCUUCAAAAACUGAGGUCCAGAUAGCUUUGCUGGUGGAGUCCACCAAACAUAUAAAGAAGAAAUAAUACCAAUUCUACACAAUCUCUUCCAGAAA